AUGGCAGCGCGAUGCCACGUCUCUCUCCAUCUCUCUCUCCCUGCGGCACAGAUACUGUAACACUGAGCCUUGGCUGGCUGGUGUCCUCAACAUGCAUGAUAACUGAGUGUCUCUCUGUGUUUGUGUCUCUGACACCAGGGGGCUUUAAAGGGGCCAGAAGAAUCCCAGCCCCAUUCGCAGAAGCUGAUACAAUCCACCCCAAAGUGUCUCUUUUUCUCUAGCAGGCCUUUGAAGUGGGGUGAUGAGGUAUGCAUGUCAACAGCCUGUCUCUGCAGUGCAGGUUUUGACGGAUAUGCGAUGUGCAGGAUUCCUGCUGUUCCAGCCGCAGUGUCUCUACCCGCCGGAUGCCCGAAGAUGUGUGUGAGAA
Molecule: long non-coding RNA, 367 nt
Organism: Triplophysa dalaica
Lineage: Eukaryota; Metazoa; Chordata; Actinopteri; Cypriniformes; Nemacheilidae
Exons: 3
Source: RefSeq, a predicted model, not a curated record